This 591-nucleotide ribosomal RNA is filed under the name Triticum aestivum (bread wheat). Its description in RNAcentral is "partial small subunit ribosomal RNA". Lineage: Eukaryota; Viridiplantae; Streptophyta; Magnoliopsida; Poales; Poaceae. The record is from RNAcentral.
AUGAAGUUAAAUGCUUCUCCAGGGCCAGAUGGUUUUAAUGUUGAAUUUUACCUGGCUGCUUGGGAUUGGAUAGGAGAUGAGAUUACCCAGCUUGUUAUCAAUUUUUAUCUUACUGUUGUUUUGCCUCCUCACAUUAAUGAUACCAGCAUUGCUCUUAUUAAAAUAGAUCUUGCUAAAGCCUUUGAUCGUCUUGAAUGGAGUUUUAUUGUUUCUGCUCUUUCUCGGAAAGGGUUGCAUGGUCAUUUCAUAAAUUUAGUUCAUGCUUGCAUCUCCUCGCCUACGUUUUCUGUUGUCAUUAAUGGGCAGCCUUCUCAAAAAUUCAACAGUUCUAGGGGUAUUCGUCAAGGUUGUCCUAUGUCUCCUUAUUUAUUUGUUAUUGCUAUCAAUAAACUCUCCAUUGCCCUUAAUGACGCUCUUGCUGCUCAUCAAUUACAGGGUAUCUCUCUUGGACCAAAUUGCCCCUCCAUUCACUCUCUUUUAUUUGCGGAUGACUUAUUGGUUUGUGGACAGACCACUUUGCAGGAAGCUCACACCAUGGUUAAUCUUAAACCAAUUUUGUGCUAUUUCUGGUCAAACUCCAAACUGGUCUAA